AUGAACGCUGGCGGCGUGCCUAAUACCUGCAGGUCGAGCGAACAGACGAGGAGCUUGCUCCUCUGACGUUAGCGGCGGACGGGUGAGUAACACGUGGAUAACCUACCUAUAAGACUGGGAUAACUUCGGGAAACCGGAGCUAAUACCGGAUAAUAUAUUGAACCGCAUGGUUCAAUAGUGAAAGACGGUUUUGCUGUCACUUAUAGAUGGAUCCGCGCCGCAUUAGCUAGUUGGUAAGGUAACGGCUUACCAAGGCGACGAUGCGUAGCCGACCUGAGAGGGGUGACCGCCCCACCGGAACUGAGACACGGUCCAAACUCCCAAGGGGGGGAGCAAGAGGGGAAUUUUCGCAAAGGGGGGAAACCCGGCGGGGGAAACCCCGGGGGGGGAAGAAAGGUUUUGGGAUCGAAAAACUCUUUUAUAGGGAAAAAAAAAAGGUUAAAGAAAUUUGCACCGUUUUGCGGGAACUAAUUAAAAAACCCCCGCUAAACUCCGG
Molecule: ribosomal RNA, 496 nt
Filed under: uncultured bacterium
Lineage: Bacteria
Description: partial 16S ribosomal RNA
Rfam family: Bacterial small subunit ribosomal RNA
Source: RNAcentral